AGUACGUGGACGUAGACCCGAAACCGGGUGAUCUACCCCUGUCCAGGGUGAAGGUGCGGUAACACGCACUGGAGGCCCGAACCCACGCAUGUUGAAAAAUGCGGGGAUGAGGUGGGGGUAGCGGAGAAAUUCCAAUCGAACUCGGAGAUAGCUGGUUCUCCCCGAAAUAGCUUUAGGGCUAGCCUCGGAAAACAGAGUCGUGGAGGUAGAGCACUGAUUGGGUGCGGGGCCCGCAAGGGUUACCAAGCUCAGUCAAACUCCGAAUGCCAUAGACUUACUUCCGGGAGUCAGACAGUGAGUGCUAAGAUCCAUUGUCAAAAGGGAAACAGCCCAGACCAUCAGCUAAGGUCCCCAAGUGUGUGUUAAGUGGGAAAGGAUGUGGAGUUGCACAGACAACCAGGAUGUUGGCUUAGAAGCAGCCACCAUUGAAAGAGUGCGUAAUAGCUCACUGGUCGAGUGACUCUGCGCCGAAAAUGUAACGGGGCUAAACACACCACCGAAGCUAUGGCUUGAUGCUUUGCAUCAGGGGUAGGGGAGCGUUGUAUAAGGGUUGAAGGUGUACCGUAAGGAGCGCUGGACAUUAUACAAGUGAGAAUGCCGGUAUGAGUAACGAAAAGAUCAGUGAGAAUCUGAUCCGCCGAAAGCCUAAGGGUUCCUGAGGAAGGCUCGUCCGCUCAGGGUAAGUCGGGACCUAAGGCGAGGCCGAAAGGCGUAGUCGAAGGACAACAGGUCGAAAUUCCUGUACCACCGUAAGCCGUUAUGAGCAAUGGGGGGACGCAGCAGGGUAGUGACGCGGACUGAUGGAUGUCCGUCUAAGCAGUGAGGCUGAUGUGUAGGCAAAUCCGCACAUCGUAAGGCUGG
This is a ribosomal RNA of 861 nucleotides. It matches the Rfam family "Bacterial large subunit ribosomal RNA", at positions 698 to 1559 of the family's 2925-position model.